RNAcentral lists this non-coding RNA (239 nucleotides) under Brenneria goodwinii. The record is from RNAcentral. Lineage: Bacteria; Pseudomonadati; Pseudomonadota; Gammaproteobacteria; Enterobacterales; Pectobacteriaceae.
AUCGUAGCAUGAAAAUCCGGCCUUUUAUUACAAGUUAAAAGGGAAUCCAGUGUGAAUCUGGAGCUGACGCGCAGCGGUAAGGGUAGUCUGAACGAUAGCAUUAUGCAGACACUGUCUUGUUAAAGAUGGGAAGUCAUCGUUCUUUGUUGUUACGAAUCAUGGUUAUUACAAACGAUGUUUCGGCAAUUAACGUGACAGCGGCCCCAAGCCCGAAGACCUGCCGGUAUACGUCGCAGUGA